Aotus nancymaae (Ma's night monkey) is the source of this 137-nucleotide small nuclear RNA. Its record names the gene U4. It matches the Rfam family "U4 spliceosomal RNA". From Rfam's summary of the family: U4 small nuclear RNA (U4 snRNA) is a component of the major U2-dependent spliceosome. The structure of U4 snRNA from yeast and human has been reported. The record is from Ensembl. NCBI's taxonomy places the organism in Eukaryota, Metazoa, Chordata, Mammalia, Primates, Aotidae.
AGCUUUGCGCAGUAGCAGUAUCGUAGUCAAUGAGGUUUAUCUGAGGCGCGAUUGUUGCUAAUAAAAUGGAACUUUCUGCCCCAAUUCUAAGAUGGUAGAUCCAGUCAUGUUAUGGAGUUUGGACGUUAUCCUGAGGG